Molecule: long non-coding RNA, 119 nt
Organism: Nicotiana tabacum (common tobacco)
Lineage: Eukaryota; Viridiplantae; Streptophyta; Magnoliopsida; Solanales; Solanaceae
Source: RefSeq, a predicted model, not a curated record
GGUUUUUCUCGGAGCACCAACACAGAUAAGGGGAUACUGCCAGCAAGUUUCUCCCACUCGCAGUCGCAGAGGUGGUUAUCCCCUUGAGGUUAAAGCUUUCUGUAACGGGAUUAUCGCAG